AUGAAGAACGUAGCGAAAUGCGAUAAGUAGUGUGAAUUGCAGAAUUCAGUGAAUCAUCGAAUCUUUGAACGCACAUUGCGGCCAUAGGUAUUCCUUUGGCCAUGCCUGUUCGAGCGUCAUUUACACCCUCAAGCCUAGCUUGGUGUUGGGCGCCUGUCCCGCCGUUUUCGCGCGCGGACUCGCCUCAAAGUCAUUGGCGGCGGUCGUGCCGGCCCCCUCGCGCAGCACAUUUGCGCUUCUCGGAGGCCCGGCGGAUCCGCGCUCCAGCAAGACCUUUCACGACUUGACCUCGGAUCAGGUAGGGAUACCCGCUGAACUUAAGCAUAUCAAUAAGCGGAGGA
This 341-nucleotide unclassified non-coding RNA is filed under the name soil metagenome. RNAcentral describes it as "partial contains 5.8S ribosomal RNA, internal transcribed spacer 2, and large subunit ribosomal RNA". The stretch from base 1 to 119 matches the Rfam family "5.8S ribosomal RNA", at positions 36 to 154 of the family's 154-position model. The record is from RNAcentral.